AGAGGCAGCUGCGGCGCUCCAACCCGACAAGCGUCCCAAGGAGGUGCAGCCCCGGGGAAGCUGGCGACCCUCCCGAGCUGGGAGAAAGACAAACUUCCUCUCGCCCGCACUGCCCCCACGUCCACCGCUGCCCUGGGGGCCCCCUUCGAAGGCGAGGUCACGGCCCGUUUGGUGGUGGCUUGACCGGGGCGUCCCAGAGGAGCCAGCAAGCCCUCGCCUCCUCUGUGGGGUGUUUGCCAAGGACAGCUGGGCUCUGCGCUGCUUGCAGCCGCUGCUCCAGGAAGUCGGCCCCAAGCAGGCUUGCAGGAUUCACUAUAGAAUCCCUGCCUUUCCCCAGAGCCUGCCGGUGUUCUGCGCAGGGCCCUGCCUCGCCUUCCCACGGAGGGACGCGAAGACCCCGGGGUCUCUUCUUUCAGUUUCGCUCCAAGGUGCAGCCGCUUUCCCGGCAGCGGGACGUCUUUUAAUUGGGGACAUGUAUAUGGAUGAGGAUGGCACUCCGCCAGCAAGCCCCAGGUGGGAAGCAUGCCCUCCGGAGGGAGCUGUGCCUAGAACGUCGAAGACAGCAGGAGGAGCUGAAGGCUCUGACAAGGCCGUCAUGUAAAAACAGCAUUAAGGAUCAUGACCUUUUCCCUCGAAUGGACCCAUUUUCGUC
Molecule: long non-coding RNA, 652 nt
Filed under: Homo sapiens (human)
Lineage: Eukaryota; Metazoa; Chordata; Mammalia; Primates; Hominidae
Description: non-protein coding lnc-ANKRD30BL-12:2
Source: RNAcentral